AUUGAACGCUGGCGGCAUGCCUUACACAUGCAAGUCGAACGGCAGCACGGGAGCUUGCUCCUGGUGGCGAGUGGCGAACGGGUGAGUAAUACAUCGGAACGUACCCAGGAGUGGGGGAUAACGUAGCGAAAGUUACGCUAAUACCGCAUAUUCUGUGAGCAGGAAAGCGGGGGAUCGCAAGACCUCGCGCUCUUGGAGCGGCCGAUGUCGGAUUAGCUAGUUGGUGAGGUAAAAGCUCACCAAGGCGACGAUCCGUAGCAGGUCUGAGAGGAUGAUCUGCCACACUGGGACUGAGACACGGCCCAGACUCCUACGGGAGGCAGCAGUGGGGAAUUUUGGACAAUGGGGGCAACCCUGAUCCAGCCAUGCCGCGUGAGUGAAGAAGGCCU
This 389-nucleotide ribosomal RNA is filed under the name uncultured bacterium. RNAcentral's name for it is "bacterial SSU rRNA". It matches the Rfam family "Bacterial small subunit ribosomal RNA", at positions 30 to 417 of the family's 1533-position model. The record is from RNAcentral.